GACGAACGCUGGCGGCGUGCUUAACACAUGCAAGUCGAGCGGUAAGGCCCUUCGGGGUACACGAGCGGCGAACGGGUGAGUAACACGUGAGCAAUCUGCCCUUCACUUUGGGAUAACCACCGGAAACGGUGGCUAAUACCGGAUACGACCAUCCCAGGCAUCUGGUGGUGGUGGAAAGUUCUGGCGGUGGAGGAUGAGCUCGCGGCCUAUCAGCUUGUUGGUGGGGUAAUGGCCUACCAAGGCGACGACGGGUAGCCGGCCUGAGAGGGUGACCGGCCACACUGGGACUGAGACACGGCCCAGACUCCUACGGGAGGCAGCAGUGGGGAAUAUUGGACAAUGGGCGAAAGCCUGAUCCAGCAACGCCGCGUGAGGGAUGACGGCCUUCGGGUUGUAAACCUCUUUCAGUAGGGACGAAGCUAACGUGACGGUACCUACAGAAGAAGCACCGGCCAACUACGUGCCAGCAGCCGCGGUAAUACGUAGGGUGCGAGCGUUGUCCGGAAUUAUUGGGCGUAAAGGGCUCGUAGGCGGUUUGUCACGUCGGGAGUGAAAACUCGGGGCUUAACCCCGAGCCUGCUUCCGAUACGGGCUGACUAGAGGUAUGCAGGGGAGAACGGAAUUCCUGGUGUAGCGGUGAAAUGCGCAGAUAUCAGGAGGAACACCGGUGGCGAAGGCGGUUCUCUGGGCAUUACCUGACGCUGAGGAGCGAAAGUGUGGGGAGCGAACAGGAUUAGAUACCCUGGUAGUCCACACCGUAAACGUUGGGCGCUAGGUGUGGGACUCAUUCCACGAGUUCCGUGCCGCAGCUAACGCAUUAAGCGCCCCGCCUGGGGAGUACGGCCGCAAGGCUA
This 854-nucleotide ribosomal RNA is filed under the name uncultured bacterium. RNAcentral describes it as "bacterial SSU rRNA". It matches the Rfam family "Bacterial small subunit ribosomal RNA", at positions 28 to 896 of the family's 1533-position model. The record is from RNAcentral.